This 658-nucleotide long non-coding RNA is filed under the name Vulpes vulpes (red fox). RNAcentral describes it as "lncRNA (ENSVVUG00000027346.1)". Lineage: Eukaryota; Metazoa; Chordata; Mammalia; Carnivora; Canidae. The record is from RNAcentral.
CUAUUGUGUACUGUGUUCUGAGGGACCCUAACAUCUGAUGCUAGAACUCCUGUUUCAGGAAACUUAUGGUGACAUGCACACAGGAGUAAUUCUACAGUCAGACAAGAAAGAAAGAUUACUGUGACUUGGUCUACAAAAGAACACUGUCCAGUGUCACAGGGAGAGGUCACCUGUAGUUUAGAGGCCGAGGAAAGUAUAGGGGAACCAAGAGAGUAGAGAGUGUUGGAGUCAAGCCCUGAAGAAUUACUAAGGUUUGGCCAGAAUCUAGAAUCUAAACUAGAAGAAAGUUUGAGAAUUCUACUUUCUUCUACUCAACUAUAGGACAUUCCUAGUCAUCAUGCCCCAGGAAUUACCUGCGUGAGCUCCCAAAGAAGUCUUUCUUGCCUUCUAUUAUCCUCAAUCAGUUUUCAGCUCUGGGAAUUUGUCUUUUCUCACUCGCCAAAGCCACAGCUCAGAGCAACCAUCAGAAAAUGAUUAACACUGUCUGUCUGUGCUGCAGCCGUCGGACAAUCACAAAGACUGGGAAGCCACCAUCACCUUCCUUGCAGAUGGUACAGAAGAAGACAGAAGGCAAGGCCUACUCAUUCCUCUAGACUACCCCUAUGCCCCCUUCCUUGCCUUGCUCCCACUAAGAAAGCUGCUUUCAUCUUUAUCUGAG